This is a non-coding RNA of Acanthosepion pharaonis, 113 nucleotides long. NCBI's taxonomy places the organism in Eukaryota, Metazoa, Mollusca, Cephalopoda, Sepiida, Sepiidae. The record is from the annotation of a GenBank genome assembly.
UACAGCCAUAUGACGGUGAAACAGCGGUUCUCGCCGAAUAACCGAAAUUAAACAACGUUGAGCCUAGUAAGUACCUGGAUGGGUGACUGCUUGCGAAUACUAGGUGCUGUAAG